Molecule: ribosomal RNA, 1498 nt
Filed under: metagenome
Description: bacterial LSU rRNA
Rfam family: Bacterial large subunit ribosomal RNA
Source: RNAcentral
UCUGGUUACUGCGAUGGAGGGACGGAGAAGGCUAGGCCAGCUUGGCGUUGGUUGUCCAAGUUUAAGGUGGUAGGCUGAAAUCUUAGGUAAAUCCGGGGUUUCAAGGCCGAGAGCUGAUGACGAGUCGUCUUUUAGAUGACGAAGUGGUUGAUGCCAUGCUUCCAAGAAAAGCUUCUAAGCUUCAGGUAACCAGGAACCGUAGCCCAAACCGACACAGGUGGUCGGGUAGAGAAUACCAAGGCGCUUGAGAGAACUCGGGGUGAAGGAACUAUGCAAAACGGCACCGUAACUUCGGGAGAAGGUGCGCCGGCUAGGGUGAAGGAUUUACUCCGUAAGCUCUGGCUGGUCGAAGAUACCAGGCCGCUGCGACUGUUUAUUAAAAACACAGCACUCUGCAAACACGAAAGUGGACGUAUAGGGUGUGACGCCUCCCCGGUGCCGGAAGGUUAAUUGAUGGGGUUAGCGCAAGCGAAGCUCUUGAUCGAAGCCCCGGUAAACGGCGGCCGUAACGAUAACGGUCCUAAGGUAGCGAAAUUCCUUGUCGGGUAAGUUCCGACCUGCACGAAUGGCGUAACGAUGGCGGCGCUGUCUCCACCCGAGACUCAGUGAAAUUGAAAUCGCUGUGAAGAUGCAGUGUAUCCGCGGCUAGACGGAAAGACCCCGUGAACCUUUACUGUAGCUUUGCACUGGACUUUGAGCCUGCUUGUGUAGGAUAGGUGGGAGGCUUUGAAGCGUGGACGCCAGUUCGCGUGGAGCCAUCCUUGAAAUACCACCCUGGCAUGCUUGAGGUUCUAACUCUGGUCCGUAAUCCGGAUCGAGGACAGUGUAUGGUGGGCAGUUUGACUGGGGCGGUCUCCUCCUAAAGAGUAACGGAGGAGUACGAAGGUGCGCUCAGACCGGUCGGAAAUCGGUCGCAGAGUAUAAAGGCAAAAGCGCGCUUGACUGCGAGACAGACACGUCGAGCAGGUACGAAAGUAGGUCUUAGUGAUCCGGUGGUUCUGUAUGGAAGGGCCAUCGCUCAACGGAUAAAGGGUACUCCGGGGAUAACAGGCUGAUACCGCCCAAGAGUUCAUAUCGACGGCGGUGUUUGGCACCUCGAUGUCGGCUCACCACAUCCUGGGGCUGAAGCCGGUCCCAAGGGUAUGGCUGUUCGCCAUUUAAAGUGGUACGCGAGCUGGGUUUAGAACGUCGUGAGACAGUUCGGUCCCUAUCUGCCGUGGACGUUUGAGAUUUGAGAGGGGCUGCUCCUAGUACGAGAGGACCGGAGUGGACGAACCUCUGGUGUUCCGGUUGUCACGCCAGUGGCAUUGCCGGGUAGCUAUGUUCGGAAAAGAUAACCGCUGAAAGCUUCUAAGCGGGAAACUUGCCUCAAGAUGAGAUCUCACUGGGAACUUGAUUCCCCUGAAGGGCCGUCGAAGACUACGACGUUGAUAGGCUGGGUGUGUAAGCGUUGUGAGGCGUUGAGCUAACCAGUACGAAUUGCCCGUGAGGCUUGACC